AGCCAAAGACUGUGUCUCAAGAACAGAUGACUGCAAGGGCUAACUGGGCUCAUGGAGUUGAUUCCCUUGCAAUUGCAGGCAGCUGGGCAACAGGAGUUUUGUUGUGUUGAGGAUCUGGGGGCAUUCAGCAUCAGCUGUGCAUCCAGAAGAUUGCUGGCUUGUUCCCAGAGAUCUGAAAUCCCAUUCUUCUCUCUCUUUUAAUGGAGCUCAGAGGUUCGGAAGGCGAGCUCGCUUGAGAGUUUUUUCCUGUCUUCGGAAGCUGCAUCAAAAUGUCACUUGCCAGCAUGUAAGCAGAAAAUUGUUUGUCUCCAGCUCAGUAGAGAUGCAUCAUGCCACAACAAAAAACAAUUUUGCAAAGUUAGAGCCAAAAGAACCAAUAACAACAUUCUGCAAGAUCUUAUACCAUAUGGACGAAGUCAGUGUCUGAUCUGAUAAGGAGGAGGUACAGAGCUUGGUCGUGAUGCUGGGGUAAAUGUGCUGCUGAAGGGAACAG
This is a long non-coding RNA of Cygnus atratus (black swan), 493 nucleotides long. RefSeq lists it as uncharacterized. The transcript is spliced from 3 exons. Lineage: Eukaryota; Metazoa; Chordata; Aves; Anseriformes; Anatidae. The record is from RefSeq and is a predicted model, not a curated record.